GACGAACGCUGGCGGCGUGCCUAAUACAUGCAAGUCGAGCGCAGGAAAUCGACGGAACCCUUCGGGGGGAAGUCGACGGAAUGAGCGGCGGACGGGUGAGUAACACGUAAAGAACCUACCCUCAGGUCUGGGAUAACCACGAGAAAUCGGGGCUAAUACCGGAUGGGUCAUCGGACCGCAUGGUCCGAGGAUGAAAGGCGCUCCGGCGUCGCCUGGGGAUGGCUUUGCGGUGCAUUAGCUAGUUGGUGGGGUAAUGGCCCACCAAGGCGACGAUGCAUAGCCGACCUGAGAGGGUGAUCGGCCACACUGGGACUGAGACACGGCCCAGACUCCUACGGGAGGCAGCAGUAGGGAAUCUUCCACAAUGGACGAAAGUCAGAUGGAGCAACGCCGCGUGAACGAUGAAGGCCUUCGGGUCGUAAAGUUCUGUUGUAAGGGAAGAACAAGUGCCGCAGGCAAUGGCGGCACCUUGACGGUACCUUGCGAGAAAGCCACGGCUAACUACGUGCCAGCCGCCGCCGUAA
This 524-nucleotide ribosomal RNA is filed under the name uncultured bacterium. RNAcentral describes it as "partial 16S ribosomal RNA". It matches the Rfam family "Bacterial small subunit ribosomal RNA", at positions 28 to 523 of the family's 1533-position model. The record is from RNAcentral.